Molecule: signal recognition particle RNA, 238 nt
Filed under: Anaerolineae bacterium
Lineage: Bacteria; Bacillati; Chloroflexota; Anaerolineae
Description: partial signal recognition particle sRNA large type
Rfam family: Bacterial large signal recognition particle RNA
About the family: The signal recognition particle (SRP) is a universally conserved ribonucleoprotein involved in the co-translational targeting of proteins to membranes. Archaeal SRP consists of a 7S RNA and homologues of the eukaryotic SRP19 and SRP54 proteins.
Source: RNAcentral
UCGUGCUAGACGGGGAGCUAGCGGUGCCCUGCACCCGCAAUCCGCUAUAGCGGGGUCGAAUUCCUCCCCGAGGGCCGACGCGACCGCUCGUGUGCGCCACCAGCGUCACGGCGUGGAUCCCGUGCGGCGCGGGCCUGCGAACCGGGUCAGGACCGGGAGGUAGCAGCCCUAAGUAGUCACCCGCGGGUGUCACGGGGGCUUCUGCGUCGUCCUGGUGGAACGCAGCGGCGGUCGUAGC